RNAcentral lists this small nuclear RNA (104 nucleotides) under Castor canadensis (American beaver). Lineage: Eukaryota; Metazoa; Chordata; Mammalia; Rodentia; Castoridae. The record is from RNAcentral.
GUGCUGGCUUCGGCAGCACAUAUACUGAAAUUGGAACGAUACAGAGAUUAGCAUGGUCCAUGUGCAAGGAUGACACGCAAACUCUUGAAGCUUUCCAUAUUUUU